RNAcentral lists this unclassified non-coding RNA (232 nucleotides) under Hevea brasiliensis (rubber tree). The record is from RNAcentral. Lineage: Eukaryota; Viridiplantae; Streptophyta; Magnoliopsida; Malpighiales; Euphorbiaceae.
CAUUGAGAGUCUGGUUGUUGGUGGAUGGCCGAGGCACAUGCCGCUGCUGCUGGUGUUGCUGGGCUGAGGAACUGCCAACGUGAUGUAAGGCAGGCUGAUGGGAGGAGAAUUGUGGAGUCAAUCCUCGGUUGAAGGGGUUUCCAUUGACAGCUGGAAUUUGUCCAGUUGCUAUCCUAAGCCGUUGCACCUCUUCCCUCAAUGCUUCAUUCAGAGCAUCUCUAAGUUGUGCUUG